RNAcentral lists this ribosomal RNA (1359 nucleotides) under uncultured bacterium. RNAcentral describes it as "bacterial SSU rRNA". It matches the Rfam family "Bacterial small subunit ribosomal RNA", at positions 28 to 1381 of the family's 1533-position model. The record is from RNAcentral.
GAUGAACGCUAGCUACAGGCUUAACACAUGCAAGUCGAGGGGCAUCAGGAAGAAAGCUUGCUUUCUUUGCUGGCGACCGGCGCACGGGUGAGUAACACGUAUCCAACCUGCCCUUUACUCGGGGAUAGCCUUUCGAAAGAAAGAUUAAUACCCGAUGGCAUAAUGAUUCCGCAUGGUUUCAUUAUUAAAGGAUUCCGGUAAAGGAUGGGGAUGCGUUCCAUUAGGUUGUUGGUGAGGUAACGGCUCACCAAGCCUUCGAUGGAUAGGGGUUCUGAGAGGAAGGUCCCCCACAUUGGAACUGAGACACGGUCCAAACUCCUACGGGAGGCAGCAGUGAGGAAUAUUGGUCAAUGGGCGCUAGCCUGAACCAGCCAAGUAGCGUGAAGGAUGAAGGCUCUAUGGGUCGUAAACUUCUUUUAUAUAAGAAUAAAGUGCAGUAUGUAUACUGUUUUGUAUGUAUUAUAUGAAUAAGGAUCGGCUAACUCCGUGCCAGCAGCCGCGGUAAUACGGAGGAUCCGAGCGUUAUCCGGAUUUAUUGGGUUUAAAGGGAGCGUAGGUGGACUGGUAAGUCAGUUGUGAAAGUUUGCGGCUCAACCGUAAAAUUGCAGUUGAUACUGUCAGUCUUGAGUACAGUAGAGGUGGGCGGAAUUCGUGGUGUAGCGGUGAAAUGCUUAGAUAUCACGAAGAACUCCGAUUGCGAAGGCAGCUCACUGGACUGCAACUGACACUGAUGCUCGAAAGUGUGGGUAUCAAACAGGAUUAGAUACCCUGGUAGUCCACACAGUAAACGAUGAAUACUCGCUGUUUGCGAUAUACAGUAAGCGGCCAAGCGAAAGCAUUAAGUAUUCCACCUGGGGAGUACGCCGGCAACGGUGAGACUCAAAGGAAUUGACGGGGGCCCGCACAAGCGGAGGAACAUGUGGUUUAAUUCGAUGAUACGCGAGGAACCUUACCCGGGCUUAAAUUGCAGUGGAAUGAUGUGGAAACAUGUCAGUGAGCAAUCACCGCUGUGAAGGUGCUGCAUGGUUGUCGUCAGCUCGUGCCGUGAGGUGUCGGCUUAAGUGCCAUAACGAGCGCAACCCUUAUCUUCAGUUACUAACAGGUCAUGCUGAGGACUCUGGAGAGACUGCCGUCGUAAGAUGUGAGGAAGGUGGGGAUGACGUCAAAUCAGCACGGCCCUUACGUCCGGGGCUACACACGUGUUACAAUGGGGGGUACAGAAGGCAGCUAGCGGGUGACCGUAUGCUAAUCCCAAAAUCCUCUCUCAGUUCGGAUCGAAGUCUGCAACCCGACUUCGUGAAGCUGGAUUCGCUAGUAAUCGCGCAUCAGCCACGGCGCGGUGAAUACGUUCCCGGGCCU